CAGCCGCCGCGGGAAAACGUAGGGUGCAAGCGUUAUCCGGAAUUAUUGGGCGUAAAGAGCUCGUAGGCGGUUUGUCGCGUCUGCUGUGAAAACUGGAGGCUCAGCCUCCAGCCUGCAGUGGGUACGGGCAGACUAGAGUGCGGUAGGGGAGAUUGGAAUUCCUGGUGUAGCGGUGGAAUGCGCAGAUAUCAGGAGGAACACCGAUGGCGAAGGCAGAUCUCUGGGCCGUAACUGACGCUGAGGAGCGAAAGCGUGGGGAGCGAACAGGAUUAGAUACCCCCGUAGUCCCUGUCUCUUAUAC
This 301-nucleotide ribosomal RNA is filed under the name uncultured bacterium. Its description in RNAcentral is "partial 16S ribosomal RNA". It matches the Rfam family "Bacterial small subunit ribosomal RNA", at positions 509 to 807 of the family's 1533-position model. The record is from RNAcentral.